GUAACGGCGAGUGAAGCGGCAACAGCUCAAAUUUGAAAUCUGGCCCCAGGCCCGAGUUGUAAUUUGUAGAGGAUGCUUUGGGCGCGGUGCCUUCCAAGUCCCCUGGAACGGGGCGCCAUAGAGGGUGAGAGCCCCGUACGGUUGGACACCAAGCCUGUGUAAAGCUCCUUCGACGAGUCGAGUAGUUUGGGAAUGCUGCUCUAAAUGGGAGGUAGACCCCUUCUAAAGCUAAAUACCGGCUGGAGACCGAUAGCGCACAAGUAGAGUGAUCGAAAGAUGAAAAGAACUUUGAAAAGAGGGUUAAAAAGCACGUGAAAUUGUUGAAAGGGAAGCGCUUGUAACCAGACUUGCGCCGGGGCGAUCAUCCAGCGUUCUCGCUGGUGCACUCGCCCCGGCUCAGGCCAGCGUCGGUUCGUUGGGGGGUACAAAGACGACAGGAACGUGGCUCCCUCGGGAGUGUUAUAGCCUGACGUGUCAUGCCCCCUCGCGGACCGAGGUACGCGCUCUGCAAGGACGCUGGCGUAAUGGUUACCAGCGGCCCGUCUUGAAACACGGACCA
This 559-nucleotide ribosomal RNA is filed under the name Chaetosphaeria sp. Its description in RNAcentral is "LSU rRNA". It matches the Rfam family "Eukaryotic large subunit ribosomal RNA", at positions 83 to 668 of the family's 3401-position model. Lineage: Eukaryota; Fungi; Ascomycota; Sordariomycetes; Chaetosphaeriales; Chaetosphaeriaceae. The record is from RNAcentral.